This 434-nucleotide ribosomal RNA is filed under the name uncultured Lachnospiraceae bacterium. RNAcentral describes it as "partial 16S ribosomal RNA". It matches the Rfam family "Bacterial small subunit ribosomal RNA", at positions 341 to 792 of the family's 1533-position model. Lineage: Bacteria; Bacillati; Bacillota; Clostridia; Lachnospirales; Lachnospiraceae. The record is from RNAcentral.
ACGGAAGGCAGCAGUGGGGGAUAUUGCACAAUGGGGGAAACCCUGAUGCAGCGACGCCGCGUGAGUGAAGAAGUAUUUCGGUAUGUAAAGCUCUAUCAGCAGGGAAGAUAAUGACGGUACCUGACUAAGAAGCACCGGCUAAAUACGUGCCAGCAGCCGCGGUAAUACGUAUGGUGCAAGCGUUAUCCGGAUUUACUGGGUGUAAAGGGAGCGUAGACGGCAUAGCAAGUCUGAUGUGAAAGCUAUGGGCUCAACCCAUAAACUGCAUUGGAAACUGUUAAGCUAGAGUGUCGGAGAGGUAAGUGGAAUUCCUAGUGUAGCGGUGAAAUGCAUAGAUAUUAGGAGGAACACCAGUGGCGAAGGCGGCUUACUGGACGAUAACUGACGUUGAGGCUCGAAAGCGUGGGGAGCAAACAGGAUUAGAUACCCUGGUA